This 253-nucleotide ribosomal RNA is filed under the name uncultured bacterium. RNAcentral describes it as "partial 16S ribosomal RNA". It matches the Rfam family "Bacterial small subunit ribosomal RNA", at positions 524 to 776 of the family's 1533-position model. The record is from RNAcentral.
UACGAAGGGGGCUAGCGUUGUUCGGAAUUACUGGGCGUAAAGCGCGCGCAGGCGGUUCUUCAAGUCAGAGGUGAAAGCCCAGAGCUCAACUCUGGAAUUGCCUUUGAGACUAGAGAACUAGGGUACGGGAGAGGUGAGUGGAAUUCCGAGUGUAGAGGUGAAAUUCGUAGAUAUUCGGAAGAACACCAGUGGCGAAGGCGGCUCACUGGCCCGUUACCGACGCUCAGGCGCGACAGCGUGGGGAGCAAACAGG